AAAAAAAACAUAAAAAAA
This 18-nucleotide small RNA is filed under the name Arabidopsis thaliana (thale cress). RNAcentral describes it as "ATSL144150". Lineage: Eukaryota; Viridiplantae; Streptophyta; Magnoliopsida; Brassicales; Brassicaceae. The record is from RNAcentral.